UGCUAUAUGAUAAUUAAUAUAUAGUAAUCUCCUGCCCAGUGAUAUUAUUCAACGGCCGCGGUAUCCUAACCGUGCAAAGGUAGCAUAAUAAUUUGUCCAUUAAUUGUGGACUAGAAUGAACGGGGCAACGAAAUAAGAUCUGUCUUCAAUGUGCUCUCCUAAAACUAUUUUAAAAGUGAAGAAACUUUUAUUAUAAUAAAGGACAAGAAGACCCUAUAGAGCUUUAUUAACAUUAUAUUUCUUAUAUAACUAAAUUCGGUUGGGGCGACCCAGGAAAAUUCAUCCUUAAACUUUAAGAUAAAUAUAUCACUUCAAUGAUCCACUUAUGAUUACCAAAUCAAGCUACCUUAGGGAUAACAGGCUAAUCCUUCUUUAGAGUCCCUAUCAACAGAAGGGAUUGGCACCUCGAUGUUGGCUUAGAUUUCCUCUUUGGCGCAGUUGUCAUAAAAGGGGGUUUGUUCAACCCAUCAUUAUCU
Molecule: ribosomal RNA, 476 nt
Filed under: Grania cryptica
Lineage: Eukaryota; Metazoa; Annelida; Clitellata; Enchytraeida; Enchytraeidae
Description: partial 16S ribosomal RNA
Rfam family: Bacterial large subunit ribosomal RNA
Source: RNAcentral